AGUGAACGCUGGCGGUAGGCCUAACACAUGCAAGUCGAACGGCAGCACAGUAAGAGCUUGCUCUUACGGGUGGCGAGUGGCGGACGGGUGAGGAAUACAUCGGAAUCUACUUUUUCGUGGGGGAUAACGUAGGGAAACUUACGCUAAUACCGCAUACGACCUACGGGUGAAAGCAGGGGAUCUUCGGACCUUGCGCGAUUGAAUGAGCCGAUGUCGGAUUAGCUAGUUGGCGGGGUAAAGGCCCACCAAGGCGACGAUCCGUAGCUGGUCUGAGAGGAUGAUCAGCCACACUGGAACUGAGACACGGUCCAGACUACUACGGGAGGCAGCAGUGGGGAGUAUUGGACAAUGGGCGCAAGCCUGAUCCAGCCAUACCGCGUGGGUGAAGAAGGCCUUCGGGUUGUAAAGCCCUUUUGUUGGGAAAGAAAAGCAGCAGGUUAAUACCCCGCUGUUCUGACGGUACCCAAAGAAUAAGCACCGGCUAACUUCGUG
RNAcentral lists this ribosomal RNA (492 nucleotides) under uncultured bacterium. Its description in RNAcentral is "partial 16S ribosomal RNA". It matches the Rfam family "Bacterial small subunit ribosomal RNA", at positions 29 to 507 of the family's 1533-position model. The record is from RNAcentral.